UAAGGAAUAUUGGUCAAUGGGCGCAAGCCUGAACCAGCCAUGCCGCGUGCAGGAUGAAGGCCUUCGGGUCGUAAACUGCUUUUAUGUGCGAAGAAUAUGACGGUAACACAUGAAUAAGGAUCGGCUAACUCCGUGCCAGCAGCCGCGGUCAUACGGAGGAUCCGAGCGUUAUCCGGAGUGACUGGGCGUAAAGAGUUGCGUAGGUGGUAGUUUAAGCAAAUAGUGAAAUCGCAUGGCUCAACCAUUCGGCUAUUAUUUGAACUGGGCUACUUGAGAACAUGAGGGGUAGAUGGAAUUCCCAGUGUAGGAGUGAAAUCCGUAGAUAUUGGGAGGAACACCGAUGGCGUAGGCAAUCUACUGGCAUGUUUCUGACACUGAGGCACGAAAGCGUGGGGAGCGAACCGG
RNAcentral lists this ribosomal RNA (405 nucleotides) under uncultured bacterium. RNAcentral's name for it is "bacterial SSU rRNA". It matches the Rfam family "Bacterial small subunit ribosomal RNA", at positions 355 to 776 of the family's 1533-position model. The record is from RNAcentral.